RNAcentral lists this ribosomal RNA (402 nucleotides) under bacterium. RNAcentral describes it as "partial 16S ribosomal RNA". It matches the Rfam family "Bacterial small subunit ribosomal RNA", at positions 355 to 776 of the family's 1533-position model. The record is from RNAcentral.
UGGGGAAUUUUGCACAAUGGGGGAAACCCUGAUGCAGCGACGCCGCGUGAUUUAGAAGGCCUUCGGGUUGUAAAAAUCUUUUCUAUGGGAAGAAAAUGACAGUACCAUAGGAAUAAGGACCGGCUAAUUACGUGCCAGCAGCCGCGGUAAUACGUAAGGUCCGAGCGUUGUCCGGAAUCAUUGGGCGUAAAGGGUACGUAGGCGGGUAAGCAAGUUAGAAGUGAAAUCCUAUAGCUCAACUAUAGUAAGCUUUUAAAACUGCUCAUCUUGAGGUAUGGAAGGGAAAGUGGAAUUCCUAGUGUAGCGGUGAAAUGCGCAGAUAUUAGGGGGAAUACCGGUGGCGAAGGCGACUUUCUGGCCAUAACCUGACGCUGGGGUACGAAAGCGUGGGUAGCAAACAGG